CUUGGAGGCACGCAGGGCCUCCAGGGUCUGCUCCUGAGACAGCUUGGAGAGCUCCUUCCCGUUCACCUGCGGCAGAGACGACAUGUCCCCGUGAGGACCCGCUGAGGCCCUGCUUACCCCUGGGCGCCCUCAUUCCCAGGCUGCAAAGAACAGGCCAGCCCUGGAUGUCGUUCCAGGAAGACAGGCUGUCAAAGGAAAGCACAAGGAGUCCUAGGGACGCCUGGCCAGCCAGUGGCUCCUCUGAUUCAUGGAACCCAAAUAAUCACCUUGCUGCUACUUGGUUGUGUCCUUGUAGACAGUAGUUUCAGUUUUUAUGUUCCCCUCUCUGUAAUCUUCGCAUGGUCAGAAAAGAUUUUUUUAAUCAGGUCUGUCCAAUUAUAAAAAAAAGCAGUUUCGUUGUAGAACAUUUGAAAAAUACAGAAAACCAUAAGGAAGAAAACAAAAAUCACCCAUCUCAAGGGUGUAAAAGCUGUGAAUGUGUUGGCAUAUUUCAUUCCUGCUCUUUUUCCAAUUUGUAACUGCAGGCGCCCCGAGGCCUGGAGCACGCCAGCCUGCGCGUGGACCGUCCGUUGUGUAUUGGCUUGGUCCCUACUGUCCAUCACUAGUGGUUUUCAAUUUUAUUAUAAAGAAGGUUGCAGAGACA
Long non-coding RNA from Orcinus orca (killer whale), 643 nucleotides. RefSeq lists it as uncharacterized. The record is from RefSeq and is a predicted model, not a curated record. Lineage: Eukaryota; Metazoa; Chordata; Mammalia; Artiodactyla; Delphinidae. The transcript is spliced from 2 exons.